Molecule: transfer RNA, 57 nt
Filed under: Ovis aries (sheep)
Lineage: Eukaryota; Metazoa; Chordata; Mammalia; Artiodactyla; Bovidae
Rfam family: tRNA
About the family: Transfer RNA (tRNA) molecules are approximately 80 nucleotides in length.
Source: Rfam by way of RNAcentral
UGGCUCAGAAGGUAAAGCGUCUGUCUACAAUGCAGGAGACCCAGGUUCAAUCCCUGG